Molecule: long non-coding RNA, 520 nt
Filed under: Nicotiana benthamiana
Lineage: Eukaryota; Viridiplantae; Streptophyta; Magnoliopsida; Solanales; Solanaceae
Description: long non-coding RNA (NBEN_LNC032902)
Source: RNAcentral
AAUGGCAGCUGCAUCAGUUAAUGCCACAAUUUCAAUGCUUGACUCCAACAUGGAAACAGAUAAGCUCACGUACGAAAUUUUCUCCAUUCUUGAAAACAAAUUCCUUUUUGGCUAUGAUGAUACAAAAACUUCAGAUAAAAUUUCAUCAGCUCCGUUCGCCGGAAACAAGAAUGCCGGCAACGGAAACUUUGGCUAUGAUGAUACAAAAACUUUAGACAAAAAUUCAUCAUCUCCUUUAGCCGGAAACAAGAAUGCCGGCACCGGAAAAGUUAGAAUUUUGACAAUUGAUGCUGGUGGGUCCACUGAUGGUGUCCUUGCCGGAAAAUCUUUGACCCAUUUGGAAGCUACCCUUCGCGAGAAAUCGGGAAAACCAAAUGCUCAUAUUGCUGAUUUUUUCGAUGUUGUCGCUGGCUCGGGCGUCGGCGGUGUACUCGCCGGUCUUUUGUUCACACGUGGGAAUGAUGGGGUACCUAUGUUUACUGCAAAGGAAGCUCUUGAUUUCGUUGUCGAGAAUGGUCGG